This 467-nucleotide ribosomal RNA is filed under the name uncultured bacterium. RNAcentral's name for it is "partial 16S ribosomal RNA". It matches the Rfam family "Bacterial small subunit ribosomal RNA", at positions 28 to 507 of the family's 1533-position model. The record is from RNAcentral.
GACGAACGCUGGCGGCGUGCUUAACACAUGCAAGUCGAACGAUGACGACCGAGCUUGCUCGGUCUGAUUAGUGGCGAACGGGUGAGUAACACGUGAGCAACCUGCCCUUCACUCUGGGAUAACCUCGGGAAAUCGGGGCUAAUACCGGAUAUGAGCUCCUGUCGCAUGGCGGGUGUUGGAAAGUUUUUCGGUGAAGGAUGGGCUCGCGGCCUAUCAGUUUGUUGGUGAGGUAGUGGCUCACCAAGGCGAUGACGGGUAGCCGGCCUGAGAGGGCGACCGGCCACACUGGGACUGAGACACGGCCCAGACUCCUACGGGAGGCAGCAGUGGGGAAUAUUGCACAAUGGGCGCAAGCCUGAUGCAGCGACGCCGCGUGAGGGAUGACGGCCUUCGGGUUGUAAACCUCUUUCAGCAGGGAAGAAGCGAAAGUGACGGUACCUGCAGAAGAAGCGCCGGCUAACUACGUG